Pseudopipra pipra is the source of this 5132-nucleotide RNA transcript. RefSeq lists it as uncharacterized. The transcript is spliced from 9 exons. Lineage: Eukaryota; Metazoa; Chordata; Aves; Passeriformes; Pipridae. The record is from RefSeq and is a predicted model, not a curated record.
GCGCAGGGCCGGCUCGUCCUUGGCGGGUCCGGGAGCGGCGGGAACGGGACGGGCGGGACCGGAGCCAUUGCUGAGGAACCCGGGGAUCUGAGGCCAAUCGAGACUGACAUAAUUGACCACAGUUUUGCAGUGGAAUGGAUGCAGGACUUUGAGACUUCUCAGGAUGCCCUGAAUCAAGAGACCUCCUGUGUCAGUAACCUGACUCGUUCUAUGGGUUUAGUGUUGGAUGAAUUUUACAGUUCACUGAAGGUCAUGUUUAUCUGCCUGUCAGGACUGUUGGAGCACUGGAUGGAGAGCAGGUCAUAUGAAGAGGAUUACAGAGUAAAAGGCAGCUUGUACUGAAGUGUAGGGAAAGUAUAAAUAUUGAUAUAUAUUGGCACAGCGCCUGGCCUUAAUGCUUAAAAUCCUUUGGAGAGCUGUCUGCAUAUUUACUGUAUUAAUGAUCAAAUGCAAGGCUGUGUUGGGAAAGGUCUUCCAUUUGGAAGUCAGUAGCUGAGACUGUCUUGCCUAUGAAAAAGAGGGAGAAUUUUCAUUAGAGGAUGUAGGAUUCUGGCUGGUAAUAGUCUUAAUUCAAGGUAUUUUUAGAUAACUGAUUUAAUACAAGCAGAACAAAUGGCCAGAAGUGUAAUGAGAGACAAGUUGAAAUUAGAAAGUAGAGGUGCAUUUUGAAUGUAUUGUCAUAGCAACUGAUUAAAUUCUCCCUCUCUUGCUGUUCUGGGGACCUUUUAAAUGUGCUUUGGCUAAAUAAAAAGUAUUAGACUAUUUCAGAGCCAAAAGGUCAGUUCUUGUUGUCUCUUUUGCACUUUAAUUCUAGUACACUGAUACUUGCUAACCACUUAUAACCCCAGAUGCAGAAUGAGAACUUGGGUUAUUAACAAUAAACAAUAAACUGUCCCAUCCCAGUUCCCCCAGUCCCUCCCCUGAGAAUCCCAGUCGCAGUCCAGUGCCCCCAGUGCCAGCCCAGUUCUCCCCAGUCCCUCUCCCGUGCCUUCAGUCCCAUCCCAGUUCUUCCCCACUACCCCCAGUCCCUCCUCAGUGCCCCAGUCACAUCCCAGUGCCCCUAGUCACACCCAGUGCAUCCAACUCCCUUCAAGUGUCUCCAGUCCCAUCCCAGUCCCUCCCCACUGCCCCCAGUCCCUCCCCAGUGCGUUGUGCUCCUUUUCCCUGUGCAUCCCAUUCCCAUCCCAGUCACUUCUCAGUCCCUCCCUGCUCCCUCCCCAGUUCCCCCAGUCCCAUCCCAGUGCCACUAGUGCUCCCAGUCCCACCCCAGUGCCCCCACUCACAUCCCAGUCCCUUCCCACUUCCCCCAGUCCCAUCCCAAUUCCCUCCCCAGUGAUCCCAGUCCUAUCCCAGUGCUUCCCUGCUGUAUUACAGUCCCUCCACAGUUCACCCCUGUCCUUCUCUACUGGCUCAGUCCUAUCCCAGUUCCCUCCCCACUGACCUCAGUCCCAUCCCAGUGGUGCCCCAGUGUGUCCUAGUGCCUCCCCAGUGCCUCUCAGUCCCAUCCCAGUGUUCCCAGUCCCCCCCGAAAAUCUCAGUCCCACCCCAGUGUCCCUACUCCCAGCCCAAAUCCCCCCAGUGCCCCCAAUCCCUCUCCAGUGUCCCCAGUCCCAUCCCAAUCCCUCCCCACUGCCCCCAGUCUCUCCCAGUGCAUCCCAGUCCUUUUCCAUGAUGCAAGAGGCACAGGGGGCACGAAAUCCCAGGGCAGCUGCACUGAGGUUCUACAAUUCGGUUGUUCUAAAUUAGAUAAUUUUCUUAGUGAGCAGUUUGAGUUGUUAGACAGCGCGGACUGCAGAAGCAUUUUUCGGUAAACUGAUUGUUUUUUAAUUUAUGUUAAAGCUCUUCUAAAAACCCUACAGCGAUGUGCAUUCGCUGCACCUGCACUGGGAGCUGCAGGGAGAAGCAGCUGGGGGGGUUUGCUCUCUGCCCCUUUGCCACCUUCCCCUCACUUCCCUGGGACUGCAGGGAAUCCCAGCUCCCCUUGGCUUCUCCGGGGGCCUCGCGGCAGGGUUUCGAAGUGUGGCCCUGAGAUUUUCUGGCCUUGGAACUGAUGGCUGUUUCGGGGCAUGGCUUGCCGGGGGAGAAUUGUGGCGGAAGAAAGCAAAGGAAGCCCAGAGCCUGGAGUAGGCAGGCCCGGGCCUCUGGCGAGCCCAGGCCUUGCUGCUCGGUGCCGAUUGUGCCCGGGGCUUGUUCGUCACCAUUCGGUUCCCACUGAGAGGGGAGCAAGAGGCAGAACAGCCCGCUGCUGCUGCUGCUGCUGCUGCUGCUGCUGCUGGGGCUGAACUGUCUGCAGUGCCCGGGGGCCGGGCAGGACUUGGCCCCGAUGCCUGCAUUGCUCUGCAGCGGCCAGGGAGGGGUCCCAAAAGUCAUCCCCCCGCCUGCUGUGCUGCACAGCAGGGGCUGGCUAGGCCGGUUCCCGGCCGGGGGAGCCCGGGGGAGGCCGUGCUGGGGCUGAGGGGCUGCUGCUCUCUGGGCCUCUCGGGGUGUGCCUUGGAAUCCCAAAGCCUGGGCCUGCGCGGGGGGGAGGAGGCAAAGGUGACUGUAAAUUGGUCUGUUGUGGAGUGUUUUGGGGCCGAGUUCAUGCUCUUGGCUUGUUGUGUGUCAAUUCCCAGCCUCGGUCAGGGCUUCGCGGGGAGCGUUGCUGCUGCCGCUGCCGCCGCCGCCGGGAGAGAGAAGUCCUUUGGGAAGCCGGGAUAAAAACAGCAACUCUGUGAAUUGCCCAGCUUUUCCUAGGGAAGGGCAGGUUUCAGGGAAGAAAGGCCCGUCCUCGCGAAAGGCGCCGCGGGUCUCGCAAGGGGGGGGGCGCGGCUGCAGUGCCGUUCCCGGCCGUGUCCGCCAGGCGGCGACUGCGAGGCGGCGCCCGGCGGUCGGGGCGGGCUGGGAAGCGGAGAGCUGGAGUGUUUUGGCACUGCCGGGCUUCUCCGAGCUUCAAUCCGGAGUGGGAGCUUUUUGUGGGACUGCACAGCGAAGCUGCCUGUGGGAAUGACCCGGCUAUUGCUCGGUGUACUCCUAACGACAGUGUCUUUUACUCCGUGUUCCCAGGCUCCCUCUUUCCCUUCGGUCGCCGUGGACACUGUGCCGGACGCCUCUGGCAGGACUAACCCCGGGGCUUUUAUGUCCAACGUGCUGUGCUGUGUGUGCCUGCAGCAUCCUGUCCAAGACCAAGCUACCUUUCUUUCCUCAUGGGAAUGGACCGGCCGGGCUUUGGCAAUCUGGCCCCUCGAAAGACUAAAGUGACCUCUUCCAGCAGGGGAAGACUGAAGCAAGGGGUGCCAGGAAGAACUGGAGUCUCUGGAGAAUAAAAGCUGGAAGCGUGCCCCCGAAAAUCCCCAGCCCCGCGUGGUCAGUGGUCUGACUUGCACGGACCGGUGGCCUUGGCCAGGAGCGGUCCUGCGGGAAGUGCCUUUGCCCAGCCUGUAAUUUUAAUUUCCAUUGGAUGCUUGGCAAAGCCCCCCUGGGUGAGCCCCGGUGCCUGGCAGGAGCAGAGCGGGCUUCCAGGGAGGCAUUCACCUGGUCAGCAUCAGGAACCAUCCUAACUGAGGCCUCGGCUCCCUCUUUCCCUUCGGUCGCCGUGGGUGUGCCGGACGCCUCUGGCAGGACUAACCCCGUGGCUUUUAUGUCCAGCGUGCUGUGCUGUGUGUGCCUGCAGGUGGUUGGUGUUUCUGCAGUGUUUGGCACAGGACUGGGGGAGAUUUUUACCCAGCUUUCUAAAGCUGUAGAUGAGUAGGAGAGACUGAAUGCACUCCCUUUAUUCACCUUUUCAGAGAGUAUCGGCCAGAAUACGAGCGCCUGAGAAAAACACUGGACAGUUCUCUGCAGGCACAGCUACACAGAGUUUGGCUUCCCGGCGCUGCUGAAAACGUCCUAGAAUCCCACCUGACUGGAGGUUGCUUUCCACGCUUAGUCAGAAGUUCUGUGUAACCUGAGUUGAAAUAAUCCACAUGUAAAUCUUUGUCUACGGGAGAAAGCUCAAAAUAAACAAAAGAGAGAGCAGCUGGAACACUUGUGGAAGGACAUGGGCAGCAUGUGUGUGCAGGGCAGCACAAUGGCAGGUACCUCCCCAGGAAGAUAAAGUUUACUGCAGAAGUUUUCUGAAGAGUUUGCCUUGUGAAGUAGUACAGUGCUUCUUUGUCCUCACAGCAGAAAUAUGAAAGCAGCUCCAUGUUAGAGGAGCAGGGCUUUAGUUCCUGUGGGAUUGGUCGCACUUAGCUCUUCCUGUGUCAGUCACAGGUUUGGAAGAAACCCCGCUGUGUAGCUAAAGCAGUGGACCUACUAGAAAUAAUGAAAUACUUUAGAAAAGGUGAAACAGUCAGAUCAGAAUAUGAGAAAGCUCUGCUGUUGGCUGCACUGUUCCUUAGAUGAGGCGAGUAGGUGCUGAUGGAGUCUGUCCUGUGUCUGGGAUCCACAAGCAGCUUUCUGUCCCCUUAGAGCAGGUGUUCAUUGCUGGGUUUCUGUGCAGACAGAAACCUUACCUUUAGCAAGCUGGUUUGUGUACAGCUGUUUCUGUUCCCUUCAAGGACCUGAUGCUUCUGCAAUGGGUCCCUCUGAGCUAAUACUAACACGAGGAACUCUCGAUGAAGAGCAAGAAGAGAGGGAGAGUGACGCUGAUGGCAUUGACCAUGAAGGUAAGGGAAUGAGGUCUAAAAGCUGCCUCUCAAGAAAUCCCCUCUAUAUUUCAUGACCUGGAUGGACUGUAAGGAGAGCCUAGAAAACAAGGAAACAUUCAGUCACCUGACGUGUCAGAAUCUGUAGCAGAAGCUCAGCUGCAAUGGUCAGUGCAGGGAUAUCACUCUGUAACCUUUGUGAAAGUUCAUUUGUAAAUUUUCUAUUCAAGUAAUUAAUAGGUGUAUAACACACAUAAACCAGAGAACUCAUUAGGCUUGGGGCAUGCAGUGACCUCUGAACCUGAUUGAUGCACAGAUGUGUCCAUCAUCUUUUUGGCCUUACAGUUUCUGCCCCUGGCUCUCUUCCCUUUUCCUGUGACUGUGGUCUUGGAGCAAUCUUCUAAGUUGUUACAGUGUGAUUUUUCUCUUCUAUAGCUCACAGACUUAAUCUUCAUUCUUUCCCUGUUCCACUGAUGGGUAGGAUCACUUAUUUCCUUUGCCCUGUAAUGUAGCUGAAGAUGGAAUAGA